GUCAGCUACAAGGGCUCACGGUGAUACCUUGGCACCAGAGCAAUGAGACGUGUUACUGCGAUAGUCUCGGAGCUGGAGCACGCUUGAUUCUGAAUC
This 96-nucleotide ribosomal RNA is filed under the name uncultured Synechococcus sp. RNAcentral's name for it is "partial 23S ribosomal RNA". Lineage: Bacteria; Bacillati; Cyanobacteriota; Cyanophyceae; Synechococcales; Synechococcaceae. The record is from RNAcentral.